RNAcentral lists this ribosomal RNA (494 nucleotides) under uncultured bacterium. Its description in RNAcentral is "partial 16S ribosomal RNA". It matches the Rfam family "Bacterial small subunit ribosomal RNA", at positions 28 to 507 of the family's 1533-position model. The record is from RNAcentral.
GACGAACGCUGGCGGCGUGCUUAACACAUGCAAGUCGAACGGAAAGGCCUGCUUUCCCUUGUGGAUUGCGGGUACUCGAGUGGCGAACGGGUGAGUAACACGUGAGUGAUCUGCCCCCAACUUGGGUAUAAGCCUGGGAAACUGGGUCUAAUUCCCGAUAGGACUGCAGGGUGGAGCCUGUGGUGGAAAACGAUUUUCUAGUGGUUGGGGAUGAGCUCGCGGCCUAUCAGCUUGUUGGUGGGGUAAUGGCCUACCAAGGCGGCGACGGGUAGCCGGCCUGGGAGGGUGGACGGCCACAUUGGGACUGAGAUACGGCCCAGACUCCUACGGGAGGCAGCAGUGGGGAAUAUUGCACAAUGGGCGGAAGCCUGAUGCAGCGACGCCGCGUGGGGGAUGACGGCCUUCGGGUUGUAAACUCCUUUCGACCGCGAGGAAGCCACCUGGUUGGAAGGGUGGUGACGGUAGUGGUAGAAGAAGCACCGGCUAACUACGUG